GGGCUUGCAGUGGGUACGGGCAGACUAGAGUGCGGUAGGGGAGACUGGAAUUCCUGGUGUAGCGGUGGAAUGCGCAGAUAUCAGGAAGGAACACCGAUGGCGAAGGCAGGUCUCUGGGCCGCAACUGACGCUGAGGAGCGAAAGCAUGGGGAGCGAACAGGAUUAGAUACCCUGGUAGUCCAUGCCGUAAACGUUGGGCACUAGGUGUGGGGCUCAUUCCACGAGUUCCGUGCCGCAGCUAACGCAUUAAGUGCCCCGCCUGGGGAGUACGGCCGCAAGGCUAAAACUCAAAGGAAUUGACGGGGGCCCGCACAAGCGGCGGAGCAUGCGGAUUAAUUCGAUGCAACGCGAAGAACCUUACCAAGGCUUGACAUACACCGGAAACAGCCAGAGAUGGUUGCCCCGUAAGGUCGGUGUACAGGUGGUGCAUGGUUGUCGUCAGCUCGUGUCGUGAGAUGUUGGGUUAAGUCCCGCAACGAGCGCAACCCUCGUCCCAUGUUGCCAGCGGGUUAUGCCGGGGACUCAUGGGAGACUGCCGGGGUCAACUCGGAGGAAGGUGGGGAUGACGUCAAAUCAUCAUGCCCCUUAUGUCUUGGGCUUCACGCAUGCUACAAUGGCCGGUACAAAGGGGUGCGAUACCGUAAGGUGGAGCGAAUCCCAAAAAGCCGGUCUCAGUUCGGAUUGGGGUCUGCAACUCGACCCCAUGAAGUCGGAGUCGCUAGUAAUCGCAGAUCAGCAACGCUGCGGUGAAUACGUUCCCGGGCCUUGUACACACCGCCCGUCAAGUCACGAAAGUCGGUAACACC
Molecule: ribosomal RNA, 806 nt
Filed under: Cellulomonas sp.
Lineage: Bacteria; Bacillati; Actinomycetota; Actinomycetes; Micrococcales; Cellulomonadaceae
Description: bacterial SSU rRNA
Rfam family: Bacterial small subunit ribosomal RNA
Source: RNAcentral